This 404-nucleotide ribosomal RNA is filed under the name uncultured Sphingobium sp. Its description in RNAcentral is "bacterial SSU rRNA". It matches the Rfam family "Bacterial small subunit ribosomal RNA", at positions 356 to 777 of the family's 1533-position model. The record is from RNAcentral. Lineage: Bacteria; Pseudomonadati; Pseudomonadota; Alphaproteobacteria; Sphingomonadales; Sphingobiaceae.
AGGGAAUAUUGGACAAUGGGGGAAACCCUGAUCCAGCAAUGCCGCGUGAGCGAUGAAGGCCUUAGGGUUGUAAAGCUCUUUUACCCGGGAUGAUAAUGACAGUACCGGGAGAAUAAGCCCCGGCUAACUCCGUGCCAGCAGCCGCGGUAAUACGGAGGGGGCUAGCGUUGUUCGGAAUUACUGGGCGUAAAGCGCACGUAGGCGGCGAUCUAAGUCAGAGGUGAAAGCCCGGGGCUCAACCCCGGAAUAGCCUUUGAGACUGGAUUGCUAGAAUCAUGGAGAGGUGAGUGGAAUUCCGAGUGUAGAGGUGAAAUUCGUAGAUAUUCGGAAGAACACCAGUGGCGAAGGCGGCUCACUGGACAUGUAUUGACGCUGAGGUGCGAAAGCGUGGGGAGCAAACAGGA